CUGGGGCAGAAAUCCGUCUCUGUGAGCGGAGGAGGGUGUGCUUAUGCGAGAGCAGGUUUUGGGAGCUCACUAAAGCAGGGUCUCACUCUGUUGCUCAGGCUGGAGUGCAGUUGGUAUGAUCAUGGUUCACUGCAGCCUCAAUCUCCCAGGCUCAAGCAAACCUCCACCUCAGCCUCCCAAGUAGCUGGGACCACAGGUCCCUGAUUCUGGUCUUGAAUAGCGGAGGAGGAAAAGAAGAUGAUGGGGGAAAAGAAAAGAAGCCAUUUAUGCAUCCCUCCCUAAUUCAGUAUCCGAGCAUGAGGGAGUGUCAAGCUAGUGGGGAAGAAGAGAGGGUUUAGUUUUGAAUGAAGUUGGGAGUUUUUAUUAUUGCACUGAACUAAAUAGGCAUUUUACUAAAGUCAAGACUGUUCUUGUUAUUUAAAGGAACGGGAUCAUCAAUGGAACUCUUUGAGAUUUCAUCCAGAGGCUGGGAAAGAACAUUCAUGGUAGCUUUUAUUAUUAUUUUCAUUAUUGUAAGUUGAGGAAGAGAAAACCCAGGAAAAUAUACAAAGAGUGAUUGGAAUUAAUAAGAGUAAAACAAGGUGGCUGUAUAAAAGGUCAAUAUUCAAAAUCAAUUUUGUUAUUACUUACUAGCAACAUAAUUUUUUUUUUUUUUUUUUGAGACAGAGUUUCACUCUUGUUGCCCAGGCUGGAGUGCAACGGCGUGAUCUUGGCUCACUGCAACCUCCACCUCCCGGGUUCAAGCGAUUCUCCUGCCUCAGCCUCCCGAGUAGCUGGGAUUACAGGCAUGCACCGCCACACCUGGCUAAUUUUGUAUUUUUAGUACAGAUGGAGUUUCACCAUGUUGGUCAGGCUGGUCUCGAACUCCUGACCUCAGGUGAUCUGCCCGCCUCAGCAUCCCAAAAUGCUGGGAUUAUAGGCAUGAGCCACCGCACCUGGCCAGCAACAUAAUCUUUCUUUAAAAAUAUACCUGUUCACGACUGAGGCUCAGGGAAAAGAAAAGGAAAAAAAAUACCAUCUACAGUAGCAACAAAAUAUAAGAUUUUCAGAAUCAAUCUAACAAAAAAUGUACAAUAUGUACAGGAGAAAAUCCUGAAAUGUUACUGAAAAAAAUUAGGAAAUAUCAAUAAAUGGAGUGCUAUAUCAUAUUCCUGGAAGGAUUCAAUAGCAUAACAAUGUUAACUCCCCCAAAAUUGAUCUAGAAAUUCAAUUCUAUUCCAAUCAAAAUGCCAGCAGAGUAUUUGUGGGUGUGAUUUGAUGCUCUGAUUAUAUAAUUCAAAUAGAACAACAAGGAUCCAAGAAUAACCAGAACAACUUUAAAGAACAAGGUGGGUGAACUACCUCUACCACAUAUUAAGUCUCAUUAUGAGAUACAGUUUUUAAGACAGCCUGGCAUUAGAGUAAGGACAGAAAAACAAAAGAAUAAAACAACAUAAAGAGAGAAACACGACAGAAAAAGAAUAUACAAAACAGAAACAGACCCAAACAUAUAAAGAAACUUGACAGGUGACAGAGCAGCAUUAACUAUUCCUGGACUGAUUAUCCAUGUGGAAAAAGUUAAUCAGAUUUCCACCUCAUACAUACAAAUUUAUUUAUAUAAAAUAAAUUCCAGAUGAAUUAAACCUAAAUGUGGAAAGCAAAACUUUGAAAAUACAGGAAUAUGUAAAAACAUAUAUGUAUGAUCCACAUAUAUGAUAAAAUGGAGGAUAGCAGGGCACAGCAGCAUGCACCUGUAGUCCUGCCUCAGCCUCUUUAGUAGGUGAGGUAGCUGAGGCAGAAGAAUCACUUGAGCCCAGGAAUUCGAGGCCAGCUUGGGCAACAUAGCAAGACCCAGUCUCUAAAAACAAUUUAAAAAGUUUACAAAAAAGAAUAAUAAGGCAUAAAAGGGUUUCUUAAAAAGCACAAACAAUAAAGAAAAUCCUGAUAAAUUCAGUAACAUUAAAUUUAGAAACUCACGUCUAACAAAAGACACUAAUUUUGAAAAGUCAAAGAUGGGCCACUGACCUAGAGUAAACAUUUGCAAAACAUAAAGCUAUCAAGGAUUAUUAUCUAGAAUGAAUAUAUGUAUAAUUAUACUAGAAUGAAUAUAUAUAUAUAUACACACACACACACACACACACAUACACACACACAUUUUUUUCUACCAAUCAAUAAGAAAAAAAGAUUAUAGAAACAUUGGCAAGGGAUAUAAACAGGUAAUUAACAGAAGAGCCUGGCAUUAGAGUAAGGACAGAAGAAGAGAUGGAUGGAUGGUCAAUGAACAUGAGAAAUAUACUUCCUUUCACUGGUAAUCAGGAAAAUGAAAGAAACAAGAUACCAUAACCCAGUGAAUUUACAAAAAUCUUAAAGUUUGACAAUAACAAAUGUUGACAAAGAUGCUGAGUUAUGGAAACUCUCAAACCCUGUUAAUGGGAGAAUAACCUGGUGUAACUGCUUUGAAGAGCAAAUUGGUAAUACCUAGCAAAAUGAAAGUGCAUAUAUUCUACAACCCAACAAUUUUGCUUCUACCAGCUAUCUUAGAGAAACACUUGCAUUAUGUAUACAAGAAGUUAUGUACACAAAGGUUUGCUGUAGCAUCUUUGUAACUCCCAAAUUUGGAAACAAUGUAAAUGUCUAUCAACAGGAAAAUGAAUAAGAACAUUGUGGUUUAUUAACUCAAUGGAUUGAAUGAACUAGAAUAACAUACUGAGGAAUAUCACCAGUGUUGAAUGAGAAAAGCAAAAGGAAGAAGUAUAUAUACCAUUUAUUUAAAGAAAGAGAACAUGCAAAACAAUGCUAUAUAUUGUUUAGUAUGUAUACACUGAUAUAUAGACUGCUUUUACUACAUUAUACAUGUAAUAAAAGCACGAAGACAUGGGAAUAAUAUUUCAAUGCAGAGUGCUUAUUUCAAAAGGUGUAAGGGGGACAGUGGAGCUUCAACUGUGUUUCAUUUCUUAGUCUAGGUGGAAGCUACACAGAAAUGUGUUAUAAUGUUUUCUAUGCCUUUCUGAGUGUCUAAAAUAUUUCAGAAUAAAAAGCAAAGUUUGAGGAGAUUGUUAGGGACCCCGACAUUUGGUUGAGAAGGAAUCCUUUGGUAAUUUCUCUUACAGGAGUUUUCAUAAGUAGCUGUUACAAAAAAGAUACAUAAGUUAAAAAGAGAAUGAGAAUCGAAGCUGGAAUUGUAAAAUGAACAUUGGCAAGAAGUAAAAAUGGAGUGCAGGAAAAUUAAAGAUUUGUAGAAUGCAAUGGGAGUCUUGGAAAGAGAUUGGUUUUCUGUGAAAAUACCACAUACAUUUGACUGCUUAGAGAAAGCUUUAGAUUGGCAGCCCUUAGGAUACUGGAGAAAGGGAAAAUCCAGCUCAACCUUAAUGAGGACAAGACUGCUCUUUCCUCCAACUCCAGGGGACUUUUGCAAGGGCUCAGUGAAGGAAAGGGGUAAGGAAGGGACGGGUGAUAUUAGUUUAGUGGAGGCUCUGUCCAGUGGUCUGAGCCCUCCCCACAGCCGAGGCUUUGAGCACUCUGACCUACAUAUUAAAAUUCCAUCUGCCUUGGUGAUUUGGUUUGAAUAUUUAUCCCCUCCAAAUCUCAUGUUGAAAUGUGAUCCCCAGUGUUGCAGGUGGGGCCUGGUGGGAAGU
Molecule: long non-coding RNA, 3614 nt
Filed under: Homo sapiens (human)
Lineage: Eukaryota; Metazoa; Chordata; Mammalia; Primates; Hominidae
Description: HSALNT0291642
Source: RNAcentral